GAUGAACGCUAGCUACAGGCUUAACACAUGCAAGUCGAGGGGUAACGAGAGGGAAGCUUGCUUUCCUUGUCGACGACCGGCGGAUGGGUGAGUAACGCGUAUCCAACCUGCCCUUCAGUAAGGGAUAGCCUUUCGAAAGAAAGAAUAAUACCUUAUGUGAUCGUCUGAUGACAUCAGACGACGAUGAAAGAUUUAUCGCUGAAGGAUGGGGUUGCGUCCCAUUAGGCAGUAGGCGGGGUAACGGCCCACCUAACCUACGAUGGGUAGGGGUUCUGAGAGGAAGGUCCCCCACAUUGGAACUGAGACACGGUCCAAACUCCUACGGGAGGCAGCAGUGAGGAAUAUUGGUCAAUGGCCGUAAGGCUGAACCAGCCAAGUAGCGUGCAGGAUGACGGCCCUAUGGGUUGUAAACUGCUUUUAAACGGGGAUAAAGUGAGCCACGUGUGGUUUAUUGCAGGUACCGUUUGAAUAAGGACCGGCUAAUUCCGUGCCAGCCGCCGCAGUAA
This 506-nucleotide ribosomal RNA is filed under the name uncultured bacterium. RNAcentral's name for it is "partial 16S ribosomal RNA". It matches the Rfam family "Bacterial small subunit ribosomal RNA", at positions 28 to 523 of the family's 1533-position model. The record is from RNAcentral.